RNAcentral lists this ribosomal RNA (1370 nucleotides) under uncultured bacterium. Its description in RNAcentral is "bacterial SSU rRNA". It matches the Rfam family "Bacterial small subunit ribosomal RNA", at positions 28 to 1381 of the family's 1533-position model. The record is from RNAcentral.
GAUGAACGCUGGCGGCGUGCCUAAUACAUGCAAGUCGAGCGAACAGACGAGGAGCUUGCUCCUCUGACGUUAGCGGCGGACGGGUGAGUAACACGUGGAUAACCUACCUAUAAGACUGGGAUAACUUCGGGAAACCGGAGCUAAUACCGGAUAAUAUAUUGAACCGCAUGGUUCAAUAGUGAAAGACGGUUUUGCUGUCACUUAUAGAUGGAUCCGCGCCGCAUUAGCUAGUUGGUAAGGUAACGGCUUACCAAGGCAACGAUGCGUAGCCGACCUGAGAGGGUGAUCGGCCACACUGGAACUGAGACACGGCCCAGACUCCUACGGGAGGCAGCAGUAGGGAAUCUUCGGCAAUGGACGGAAGUCUGACCGAGCAACGCCGCGUGAGUGAAGAAGGUUUUCGGAUCGUAAAGCUCUGUUGUAAGAGAAGAACGAGUGUGAGAGUGGAAAGUUCACACUGUGACGGUAUCUUACCAGAAAGGGACGGCUAACUACGUGCCGGCAGCCGCGGUAAUACGUAGGUCCCGAGCGUUGUCCGGAUUUAUUGGGCGUAAAGCGAGCGCAGGCGGUUAGAUAAGUCUGAAGUUAAAGGCUGUGGCUUAACCAUAGUACGCUUUGGAAACUGUUUAACUUGAGUGCAAGAGGGGAGAGUGGAAUUCCAUGUGUAGCGGUGAAAUGCGUAGAUAUAUGGAGGAACACCGGUGGCGAAAGCGGCUCUCUGGCUUGUAACUGACGCUGAGGCUCGAAAGCGUGGGGAGCAAACAGGAUUAGAUACCCUGGUAGUCCACGCCGUAAACGAUGAGUGCUAGGUGUUAGACCCUUUCCGGGGUUUAGUGCCGUAGCUAACGCAUUAAGCACUCCGCCUGGGGAGUACGACCGCAAGGUUGAAACUCAAAGGAAUUGACGGGGGCCCGCACAAGCGGUGGAGCAUGUGGUUUAAUUCGAAGCAACGCGAAGAACCUUACCAGGUCUUGACAUCCCUCUGACCGCUCUAGAGAUAGAGCUUUCCUUCGGGACAGAGGUGACAGGUGGUGCAUGGUUGUCGUCAGCUCGUGUCGUGAGAUGUUGGGUUAAGUCCCGCAACGAGCGCAACCCCUAUUGUUAGUUGCCAUCAUUCAGUUGGGCACUCUAGCGAGACUGCCGGUAAUAAACCGGAGGAAGGUGGGGAUGACGUCAAAUCAUCAUGCCCCUUAUGACCUGGGCUACACACGUGCUACAAUGGCUGGUACAACGAGUCGCAAGCCGGUGACGGCAAGCUAAUCUCUUAGAGCCAGUCUCAGUUCGGAUUGUAGGCUGCAACUCGCCUACAUGAAGUCGGAAUCGCUAGUAAUCGCGGAUCAGCACGCCGCGGUGAAUACGUUCCCGGGCCU